RNAcentral lists this long non-coding RNA (1522 nucleotides) under Sus scrofa (pig). RNAcentral describes it as "lncRNA (ENSSSCG00015032583.1)". Lineage: Eukaryota; Metazoa; Chordata; Mammalia; Artiodactyla; Suidae. The record is from RNAcentral.
UUGUGGUAUAGUCUGAAGUCCGGGAGCCUGAUUCCUCCAGCUCCAUUUUUCUUUUUCAGGAUGUCUUUGGCUAUUCUGGGUCUUUUGUGUUUCCAAACAAACUUUAAAAUAUUUUGUUUGAGUUCUGUGAAAAAUGUCCUUGGUACUUUGAUAGGGAUUGCAUUGACUCUGUAGACUGCCUUGGGUAGUGUAGUCAUUUUGAUAAUAUUGACUCUUCCCAUCCAAGAGCAUGGGAUGUCUUUCCAUCUAUUUGUGAAUUCUGUCAGCUUUUCACCGUUUGAGAAUGAUGUUUGCUGUGGGUUUGUCACAUGUGGCCUUUCUGAUGUUGAGGUGGGUUCCCGUCAUGCCCACUCUCUGAAGGGUUUUUAUCAGAAAUGGGUGUUGGGUUUUGUCAAAGGCUUUUUCCGCGUCUAUGGAGAGGAUCACGUGGUUUUUAUUCUUCCGCUUGUUAAUGUGGUGUAUCACACUGAUGGAUUUGUGGAUAUUGAAGACCCCUUGCAUCCCUGGGAUAAAUCGCACUUGAUCAUGAUGUACAAUCCUUUUAAUGUCGUGUUGGAUGCGGUUUGCUAGUAUUUUGUUGAGAUUUUUUGCAUCUGUGUUCAUCAGUGAAACUGGCCUGUGGUUUUCUUUUUUUUGGUGUAUCUUUGUCUGGUUUUGGUGUCGGGUGAUGGUGGCCUCAUAGAAUGAGUUUGGGAGAAAUAAGUUAUACAAUUCAGAGGACCAACUGAAUAGCAGAAUGGGCUCAAGCAUAUAACCUACAGGUACAGGUGUGUUUGAGGAGAAAACGGCGACAGGAUGAGAAGGUUUCCACUUCCAUUACGGUGAAAUGGGUAAAUCUGACCCGUCCCCCCGAAAACACCUGAGAGGCAGCACAUUACAGAUCUUCUGGAAAACAUGUAAGGAUUGACAAGCUCAUGUGUACAUGGCUGCGAGGCUGUGACCGGGGGGUGGGGGUUGCAUUAACCUAGAGAGGAGGCUGCAGAGGAGAGGGGCGGCCGGAAGCCCAGCCCUUGAAGCCGCAAGAAGACAGGACACACUCAUCCAGAAUGUCGCUCAAACACGCUUCCUGUGGCAGGUCUUUCCUCCAAGGAAUCUGUGCAACAGCAACCCCAGGUGUGCCCUCGGGACACUGUGGGCUCAGCCUUCCCUCCCUCUUGACCCCGCUGGGACCCGAGGCUGGGGGUCACACUGCCAUGGUGACGGGUAGCUGGCUGUGGGAGGGGGCAGGGCUCCGUGACGCCCUUUCUCGGGCCGGACAGUGCUGGGUGAGCUCGAGGCCGGGCCAGCAGGAGCCCCUGGGCGGAGGGACAGGGCGCGCUGAGCACGCCAGCCAAACAGCAGCUCCCCAAGCCGCAGGUGUGCUUUGGAGACUUCACGGUCUUUCAAAGGUGGACCACAUCGCUGGGCCUCUGGACUAUUCUCUGGGCCAAGGGUAGACACCUCAGGCCGAGAGGUUCAAACUGGAGGCAGCUGAGAAGGGUCACACUACACCCAAGAGGUUUUCUGGGAAAGCGAACUCUAC